Molecule: long non-coding RNA, 1415 nt
Filed under: Felis catus (domestic cat)
Lineage: Eukaryota; Metazoa; Chordata; Mammalia; Carnivora; Felidae
Description: lncRNA (ENSFCAG00000048339.1)
Source: RNAcentral
GGGGCAGCCCAUCCCUUACCCAGAGCCUUCUGGAGUUCAAGGCCAAAGUCAACGUGGGCCCUGGACCCAGAGCUCUCCACUUGACAGAGGACUCACACCGUCCAGGUGCCGGAGGUGGGGAGCUGCAGGCACACGCACAGGGGCACGCAGACAGGUGCACACGCACGCACGGGAGCACACGCACCAGCGCCCACGUAUGCAUAGGUGCACACACAAGGUACACACACAGGUGCACGCUCACAAGCGCACACACACGCACAGGUGCACACGCUCGCACAGGCACGUGGAGCUCCAGGCCCCCUCGGGUUUGGGCGGAGGACCGAACGGCACAAACACGGGGUGAAGUUCGAGAGGCUGGGGAAAGGGCCACAGGACAGCAGUCGGCCGUCCGGUUCUCAAUCCCCCGCGCCAGUGGUGUUCAGCUGGCCUGACCGACCACGCACGUGUAAGGCUCCUCGUCAGGGUCUACAGAUGGUCGCUGUGGCCCCACACCCAGCAUGUCAAGCUCGCAAGCUGCCAUUCGGGGAGUCGUCUCUGGAGAUGCGCUAAUUGAAACCAACGGAAAAUAGUAUGUUUUCCUGCCGGUUGGGGUUGGAAUGGUUGACCCCGGCCUUCUGUGACCUUCUUAGGGGACUUGGGCUAUUUGGGUUAGUUAUGCCAGUCCGUUCUCACAGGAAUGAGUUUUAGCUUUGAGGAACUGUCGGUCUGGGCCUGUCUCAACGUUUUUGGGCAAUUUGGAUGUUUUCAACUUAAAAAAAUUUUUUUAACUAAUUUUUUUUUUUUUUUUUGAGAGAGAGAGAGAGAGAGAGCAAACCGGGGAGGGGCAGAGAGAGAGGGAGAGAGAAUCCCAAGCAGGCUCCAGGCUGUGCAGAGCCCGACCACAGGGCUCUAUCUCAUGAACUGUGAGAUGUGACCCAGGUUGAAACCAGGAGUUGGACAUUUAGCUGACCGAGCCCCCCGGACGCCCCUGGAUGUUUUCAACAUUGGCAAGAGGAGAGAGACACAUGGAAAGAGAGUGGGAAGAACACAGGGCAGCCCGGGUACCAGGUGACUCUCCUCUUGGAGCUCGGUGUCACCGAAAGCACACGGAGUGAUUUUCAGGAAAUACCCCCCAACACCGGGCCUGGCUCUUCCAGGGGGGCCCGCGUAAUGACAAAGAGACGGUGGCCGAGGCGUUACAGAUGGAGGGGUGCUGAGGGGCCGUGACAACAAAAGACAACAGCUGCGAAGGGGACAUUUGGGGACAAUCGGAGAAAUGCCGCCUGGGUCAGAACCCCGCAUCUGGGUCAGGUUCCCUGAGUGUAGCAGUCCCGUGGCCAUGGCUGGGGGACAGACUUGGGGGGCACGUGCUGCAGUGUUUAGAUCUCUGUCAGGUGUCGGGGCGCCUGGGAGGCUCAGUCAGUUGAGCAUCUGAC